This 19-nucleotide ribosomal RNA is filed under the name Tulasnella sp. FB1a. RNAcentral's name for it is "Epulorhiza sp. FB1a partial 25S ribosomal RNA". The record is from RNAcentral. Lineage: Eukaryota; Fungi; Basidiomycota; Agaricomycetes; Cantharellales; Tulasnellaceae. RNAcentral also lists the same sequence under 1 other name.
CAUAUCAAUAAGCGGAGGG